This is an RNA transcript of Aegilops tauschii subsp. strangulata, 647 nucleotides long. RefSeq lists it as uncharacterized. The record is from RefSeq and is a predicted model, not a curated record. NCBI's taxonomy places the organism in Eukaryota, Viridiplantae, Streptophyta, Magnoliopsida, Poales, Poaceae.
CACAGAUCUCCAAACCCUCGCACGCCAGCCACGCCAGGUUAAUAGCUGCCGCAACCCACAAGAUGGACGCCAGGACGCCCCGGCACCAAAGGCUGCUCCGCACCCCGCGCGGCCCACGACGCCCCAUCACCCCGCCACCACCCCGGCACGCCCGGCCAAAACCCUAUCCGCUACGUCCCCGCCGCCGCCCGAUCUCCCCCGCUCCGCCGCCGCCGCCGCCGCCGCCGCCAUGGAGGACGACGCCAUCACCACGCUCAUGGACAUCGACGACUCCCCCGCAGCGCUGCCGGCGCCGGCUUCCUCGACGACGACGACGAGGGGGACCUCCUCCACUCCCACCGCAUGGGCGGCCGCGGGAACGAGGCGCGGGGCCCCUCCCCUUCGCCGGCUUCUUCAACACCUUCGACGGCGCCGACUUCGACGACUCCGAUCUGGCCUGAUCGAGGCGUCUUCCGGUACUAGUAAUGAAGCUGGGAGGUCGUUCUGUCGAUAUGGUGCUGGUGGUCUAUCUAGUUAGGUUAUUAUGGGUGAGGUGAAACUAUUCCGAGGCAUCUGGAGACCUUUCGGUGAUCAAUCUAAGCAUCGUACUGCUGCGCUGCCCUUGGAUCUCGUGUUGUUUGGUUAAUAUAUGCAAGUGCCUUAAAUUA